CCGCCGGCCGCCGUCGCCGGAAUCCCAAUCCUCACCAAAAUUUCCAGAUUUUCUUCUCUUCAUCCCCUCUUUCCAAUUCUCCAACCAAAAUCAAGAAAUUUGGCCAUCCAACCCUCCAAAAACCUUAGAACCCGAAGCUAAAUUGGGGCUUUUUGUGAUUUCUUCUUUCCAAGUUCAAAUCAAGAGGCUAGGCUAUGGGUUUGGCAAGGAUUUGUGGUGAAGAAGGCCAAUGAGGAGGAUUAGGCCAUGAGUUUUGAAGAAGAAAGGGAAACACGAUCGUUAAGGAAGCUUAAGCGGAAAGCGUCAGAGUGUGGAAUACGCCGGCAUUUCCAGUGUGCAGGUUUCGAGCAUGUGGUCGGGAAGCGUACAGGGGAGGCACAUGGCCCGGCUUGGCGCAUUUCUCUUUAGUUUUAUCAAAAGGAAGGUUUUGGUCCCUUAUCGGAUUUUGAAGUAACUUGGUUAUUUAUUUUCUCACUAAUUCAUUUGUUUAUUUGUUUUCUAUUCGCUCAUUUACAAAAUUUCGAGAGACCCGUAACCCUGGGGCGCGUCUCUCAUACUUGUUUUCACUUUGUGAUUUGUUAUUUUCUAAAUUGGACUCCUAUUGUAAGCCCAAAUCUUUUAGCUCACUUUAAAAAUUCCGCUUGCGAAAAUAUGUUGUUCGGUUGCUAGAAUGUU
Long non-coding RNA from Rosa chinensis, 675 nucleotides. RefSeq lists it as uncharacterized. NCBI's taxonomy places the organism in Eukaryota, Viridiplantae, Streptophyta, Magnoliopsida, Rosales, Rosaceae. The record is from RefSeq and is a predicted model, not a curated record. The transcript has 5 exons.